RNAcentral lists this ribosomal RNA (594 nucleotides) under Clostridioides difficile. RNAcentral's name for it is "bacterial SSU rRNA". It matches the Rfam family "Bacterial small subunit ribosomal RNA", at positions 327 to 940 of the family's 1533-position model. The record is from RNAcentral. Lineage: Bacteria; Bacillati; Bacillota; Clostridia; Peptostreptococcales; Peptostreptococcaceae.
CGGUCCAAACUCCUACGGGAGGCAGCAGUGGGGAAUAUUGCACAAUGGGCGAAAGCCUGAUGCAGCAACGCCGCGUGAGUGAUGAAGGCCUUCGGGUCGUAAAACUCUGUCCUCAAGGAAGAUAAUGACGGUACUUGAGGAGGAAGCCCCGGCUAACUACGUGCCAGCAGCCGCGGUAAUACGUAGGGGGCUAGCGUUAUCCGGAUUUACUGGGCGUAAAGGGUGCGUAGGCGGUCUUUCAAGUCAGGAGUGAAAGGCUACGGCUCAACCGUAGUAAGCUCUUGAAACUGGGAGACUUGAGUGCAGGAGAGGAGAGUGGAAUUCCUAGUGUAGCGGUGAAAUGCGUAGAUAUUAGGAGGAACACCAGUUGCGAAGGCGGCUCUCUGGACUGUAACUGACGCUGAGGCCCGCAAGCGUGGGGAGCCAACAGGAUUAGAUACCCUGGUAGUCCACGCUGUAAACGAUGCGUACUAGGUGUCGGGGGUUACCCCCUUCGGUGCCGCAGCUAACGCAUUAAGUACUCCGCCUGGGAAGUACGCUCGCAAGAGGUCAACUCAAAGGACUUUACGGUGACCCGCACAAGUAGCGGAGCAU